GGAGCGGUGGCCGAGAGGCUGAAGGCGGCGGUUUGCUAAACCGAAAGAUGCUGUCCCGCUCUG
RNAcentral lists this transfer RNA (63 nucleotides) under Alphaproteobacteria bacterium. RNAcentral's name for it is "tRNA-Ser". Lineage: Bacteria; Pseudomonadati; Pseudomonadota; Alphaproteobacteria. The record is from RNAcentral.